UGACUCUCUAUUUAAAGCUUUCAAGGGAAGGCGAGAUUUUUUUCUUUGCACGUUGCUUCUUUGCUAGUUUUUUUUCUUUCUUCCGUUUCUUUCAGCUUAGGGUUUUGUUGUCUGAUAUUUUUCUUUUGUUUUUAUUUGUUAUGUAUGUUCCUCGAGAGCGUAGCAAUCGGUGCUGAUGACUGCUGCAACAAAAGGUGAUUAGGAUUGAUAUUGGUCCUUCUGGAGCUUUAUGGCAACGAAAUAGACUCAUGAGAGAUGCUGGUGAUACCUUUUAUCGUUUUCAUGGGUAAGACGAUGAAACUAAUUCUUCUUUUUUCUUUUCAAUCUAGGUUCUUUUUUUUGGUUUGUUUUUUAUCCCGUUGCUUCUCUUUUUUCUUUUUUUUUUUUUGCAAAAAAGAGGAUCUGAAGAUAGAAGACCCUCGAUACAUGGAUGAGGAGAUAAAUGUUUCUUCAAUUUCCUAUGGAUUUUUCUUUUUGAUUUUUUUCUUCUUUUCUAUGAUUUUAAUCCUCUUAUUAUCCUACUUUAUUUUUAUUGUUGAUUUAAUUAACCAGCAAAAAAGAGUCGCAAGGCGGAAACUUGAUAGUGAAGCUUAACAAGAGAAUUUGGCAACACAUCCCAUCCAGAGCGAUGCGCGUAUGUACUUAAAAUUUUAUUUAUAAUCAUUCGGGGUUCUUAAGUUUUAGAUUUUGUUAGUCUUGCUCUGUAGCCUGUUAUGCUAUUUUAAUUUAUUUACGACUUAUUUGGUUGUUCGUUUUA
Long non-coding RNA from Papaver somniferum (opium poppy), 757 nucleotides. RefSeq lists it as uncharacterized. The record is from RefSeq and is a predicted model, not a curated record. The transcript is spliced from 2 exons. Lineage: Eukaryota; Viridiplantae; Streptophyta; Magnoliopsida; Ranunculales; Papaveraceae.